UUUUUUUUUUUUUUUGUGAAAUUUAUUUUAAGACAUGGCCUUUUUUUCUUUUUUGCUCUACAGAUUUAUUUAACUUCCCCGAGAGAAAUGUAAUGCAUGUACCCAAAUACAACAUGUUUAAUUACUACCAUUCUAACAAAGGAAUAUGACCUUAAUAGAGAGAAACACAUUCACACUUUUUAUUGAUUUAUUUAGAAAAUAGACAGCAGAUAAGCACAGGGAGAAAAAAAAAUACAAACUAUACAGAAUAUAUGCAUUUGGGGUUUAUUCACUAAACAGCAAGUGGUACGGAAACAUUCGACUUACAAACUUAAAGCAGAAUUGGAAGGGAAAAAAAUCUUUAGUUCAUCCAAGAUGGAUUUUUCCCCCCAAUUCUACUUUAUAGUCUGAACUUGAUUUAGUUUAAAAAAAUAAAAUAAAUCUUUUAGACCUAAAUUGAAAAUCUGCAGAAAAAAAGCCAAGUUUUAAACAUUCUUCAACUAUUUUAAACUACUAAACAUUCUAACAACUAUUUUGGCCUAAAUCGUAGAUUAUCACAUAUUAUUAAAUGUGGUUGGCAGGGAAUUAGUUAAUAAUCUCUUGCCCGUCUUCUAACUUCUAACUCAUUGCCAAGCACAUAGCCUUGAAAGGGGUUAAACUAUUGCUAAUUAAUCAUAACUAGGCAAGGUGUGUAUUAUAAAAACAGUCUAUAAUCACCAGAGAACACUGAUGUGUAUUUACUAACUGGUAAUUGUGAGGAGUUGACAAGCAGACUUUUUUGCAAAAUUUGUAGCUGAGCCAGGAAUUCUCCCAAAAAAUUAAUUUUCUAUCUCAUCGAUUUAGGUCUAAAACUGAAAAUCCACUGAUCAUUUCCAAAUUUAGUGAAUAGCUUUAAUCCAAAUAUCAUGCUAAAAUAGCCAAACCAGGAACAUUAAUCAAUUGCAAAAUUUUCCCAGCUAUGUCUAUUUGUCUAGAACAGGGGUGCUCAACGGGUAGUUCCCCAGAUGUUUUAAAACUACAGCUUCCAUGAUGCUUUGUCGUUCUAAAAGCAUUCUAAAGAAAUGCAAGGCAUCAUGGGAGUUGCAGUUCUACAACAUCUGGGGAUCUACCUUUUGGGCACCCCUGUUCUAGAAUCUUAAAUCCAGUUGUCAAUUCUUCACAAUUCCUAUUGGGGUAAAAAAACAAAAAAUGUUUUUGUUUUUAUUUUUUAAAUUAGAUUUCCUCUUCCUAAUUCAGUUUUAGUAAAAGGAAAUUGCAACUUAUAUUUGUGAAAGGAUCGCACUGAAUGUUAACCCAUUGUGCUGCCAGAAUAUUCUGCCGAAACGCGGAAUCCUGACAGCAAACGGGCUAAACGAUCCACAGUAGCCAUGCACCAUCUUGGCAAAUAAACAGUUAACAUAGUGAGCUCCAGAUAUUCGAGGAAAAAGUCCCUGGCGGCUUCUAAUCCUUCCAGGCAGCGAGGACGAGUGAAGUGCCCACUGUAUUCCAAUCAUGGCUUUUCCCUGAAGAGCGUGUCCUCCUGAUCAAGUGGUCCUAAACAUUUCACAAUUUCGAUAGAGAACUGUUGAACUGUUAAGAACCACUGCACCAGGCAGACGGAGAAAUUGGUUUUAUCCAAGAGUUAGGGAGGUGGCCAGCUCCACCCACUGCAAGCUGGCCCAGCAACAUUCGCAGCGCAGACACACCUAAAACAAAACAGAUCAUGUUAGUAAUAAACACUGACUUUAAUUACACCUUUGGAAAAAAAAAGCGUCUGCGUGCUUUCAGAGACACUGUCACUCCCAGUCAGUCUUAAGAAAUCACUUGCAAGGAGUGAAGUACUCUGCGUGAUUACAUUACAUUUCUGAGAAUCCAAAGACCUGCGCGGCGUUUCAUAAACAACCUGGGUUAACUAGUGAAAUACCAGCACAACUGGCUCUGUACAGUAACAGGAAACAUCCCCCAAACACUGCCAUGAUACAUAGUUUCCCCUAUUUAAUAUUCUAGAGGUUUUCUAAGAAACUCAAUUGUUGAAAGUUGGACAAUGUGCGGUGCAAAUUACAACUCUCAUGACAUUCAGACAGCCAAUAACUUAUUUAACAUAAAUAGUUUUGUGUUUCUACCUGAGGUUGAAUACCUUCCCACCAUGACCUUUAUUUCAGGAUCUGAAUAAAGAAUUAACUCUAUUCAGGGGGGAUAUGUGCUAAGUGAAACUCUGGUGCAGUUGUCAUGGAAACCAAUGGAAUGUUCCUAACGACUGCUCCACUUUUAGAAAAUUUAAUAUUUUCACGUUAAGCAGGAGCUAUGUAAACUAAAUACAUUCAAGUAAAACACUGUGGCUCACCAAAUAUGAGUAUCUAGUAUGAAUCAACGUCAGAAAAGACCUGAAGGGUCUGCAAAAACCCUUUUGGGGGAUUGUAUGCACAAAUGAAGGUUAUGCAAGUUGCAAAUUGGGGAGAAUUGACACAUUUACUAGAAAUGUUAGUACAAAAUAGCCAGAUUGGAAAAAUGUACCAAAUCUUUAUGGCCUUAAAUUUGAUUUCUCUUCUUAUUUUUUUCUUCACAGUUCCCUAGACCAGAGAUCUAAUGUGAGCAAUUGCAUUAGGAUUCUGAAACUGCUCCAUACUGUAACUAUAAAAAGGGCCUGAAUUAAACAGGUCUGUAGUCCUGGGACAGAUACGUUUGUGAACAGGUGAAGCAGACACCAGAUUCAUCAUGUAGACAUUGUUCGGCUGUGACAGCUGCCUAUAUACAGCUCCUGUGUACCGCACCUGUCAUUUUGUAACACAGGAACCUGCACAGGCAAACAGGGGUGAAAUUCAAGCGUCAAUAAGCUGGAGGUGGCCUGCAACUCCAAAAAAAAUAAAAAUAUUUGCCAAUACAUUAUUUUCGAUUAUUGGUGCUGAAUUGACCAUUGUUGCUUUUUGUGGGUUUUGGAGCUUGCAUUCAGAAUAACUUUGCAGCUAAUUUAUCUGGAAUCUAUCGGUUAUGGUAGCUAUGGAUACAACAAGUCAAGGUUAUCCCUAGGUAUUCCCAAUCCAGAAAAACAUUCUCUACUCACCGACCCUCGGUGCCAAGCUGUUUCAUUGUGCUCUCUG
This 3056-nucleotide long non-coding RNA is filed under the name Pelobates cultripes (western spadefoot toad). The stretch from base 1493 to 1572 matches the Rfam family "mir-203 microRNA precursor family". Lineage: Eukaryota; Metazoa; Chordata; Amphibia; Anura; Pelobatidae. The record is from RNAcentral.